AUAUACUAGAUUUUGACCCGCGGU
RNAcentral lists this non-coding RNA (24 nucleotides) under Arabidopsis thaliana (thale cress). The record is from RNAcentral. Lineage: Eukaryota; Viridiplantae; Streptophyta; Magnoliopsida; Brassicales; Brassicaceae.